Molecule: ribosomal RNA, 451 nt
Filed under: uncultured bacterium
Lineage: Bacteria
Description: bacterial SSU rRNA
Rfam family: Bacterial small subunit ribosomal RNA
Source: RNAcentral
UGCCAGACUCCUACGGGAGGCAGCAGUGGGGAAUAUUGGGCAAUGGGCGCAAGCCUGACCCAGCAACGCCGCGUGAAGGAAGAAGGCUUUCGGGUUGUAAACUUCUUUUAUCAGGGACGAAGCAAGUAACGGUACCUGAUGAAUAAGCCACGGCUAACUACGUGCCAGCAGCCGCGGUAAUACGUAGGUGGCGAGCGUUAUCCGGAUUUACUGGGUGUAAAGGGCGUGUAGGCGGGAAUGCAAGUCAGAUGUGAAGACUAUGGGCUCAACCCAUAGCCUGCAUUUGAAACUGUAUUUCUUGAGUGCUGGAGAGGCAAUCGGAAUUCCGUGUGUAGCGGUGAAAUGCGUAGAUAUACGGAGGAACACCAGUGGCGAAGGCGGAUUGCUGGACAGUAACUGACGCUGAGGCGCGAAAGCGUGGGGAGCAAACAGGAUUAGAUACCCUUGUAGA